This 683-nucleotide long non-coding RNA is filed under the name Mytilus galloprovincialis (Mediterranean mussel). Lineage: Eukaryota; Metazoa; Mollusca; Bivalvia; Mytilida; Mytilidae. The record is from RNAcentral.
AACCAACCAACCAACCAAUCAAUCAAUCAAUCAAUGCAUGUUUAUGUUUCAUGUGUUUCAUACGGGAUCCAAGUUUUUUUUUCCGCUUGUUUUAAUUGAGCCUAUCAAGGUGUUUAACCAAUCAACGUGUUUAACCAACCAACAUGUUUAACCAACCAACGUGUUUAACCAACCAACGUGUUUAACCAACCAAUCAAUCAAUCAAUCAAUCAAUGCAUGUUUCACGUUUCAUGUGUUUCAUACGGGAUCCAAGGUUUUUUUUUCCGCUUGUUUUAAUUGAGCCUAUCCAACCAACGUGUUUAACCAACGUGUUUAACCAACGUGUUUAACCAACGUGUUUAACUAACCAACCAACGUGUUUAACCAACCAACCAAUCAAUCAAUGCAUGUCACGUUUCAUGUGUUUCAUACGGGAUCCAAGGUUUUUUUUCGCUUGUUUUAAUUGAGCCUAUCCAACCAACGUGUUUAACCAACAUGUUUAACCAACGUGUUUAACCAACAUGUUUAACAAACGUAUUUAACUAACCAACCAACGUGUUUAACCAGCCAACCAAUCAAUCAAUGCAUGUUUCCGUUUCAUGUGUUUAAUACGGAAUCCAAGGUCUCUUUUUUUUCGCUUGUUUCAAGAGACCCUAUAUCAAGUGUUUAAUUAAUAAACCAAUCAACCAACCAACCAACCAACC